Thunnus maccoyii (southern bluefin tuna) is the source of this 1639-nucleotide long non-coding RNA. RefSeq lists it as uncharacterized. The record is from RefSeq and is a predicted model, not a curated record. The transcript has 5 exons. NCBI's taxonomy places the organism in Eukaryota, Metazoa, Chordata, Actinopteri, Scombriformes, Scombridae.
CUCAACCAAAUGAGAAGGGCCAUCAUUCUGUGGGGCCUGCCAUAUUUCCUCCAUGAAGAUCCUUCAAAGUUCCACAGGACUGCAGAGGAAUCCUCGAUCAAAUCUUCAUCCCAUCUCCAACUGGACUGAUGGUCCUCCAUUGGACCAUUGUGGGCUUAAGGGUUUAACUGGAGGCUCACAUUGCACCCCCUCACGCCACACCCCCAGUCUACAGGCCACAGCCGGACCCUUCUCACUAAAGCCCUGGAAGCCCGAUGUUGAUGACAUUGAUGAGUCUACAGCCAAACUAGCAGCUAGUUUUGCAGGAAACGCAGCAGUAGGCUACAGAAGUAGAGCAGACUGAUGAGGAAACAUCUUCACACAUGCAUCAUGCAUCUUCAGGGUUUCAGGAAACUCAGGUUGAGGGAGAAGCAGCUGGACCUUCAGGGCUUCAGGAGACAGUCAGUGUGAGUGAGGAUGAUCCUGAAGCAAGUCAGUGUAGGAGUGUAAUGGACAUGGAGAGUAAGCCAUACCAGCCUGAUCCAAAAUUCAUAGUAGGACAGCAACUUCCAAACAAGAUGUUACGGUUUCAGGUGAACUGGUACAGUCAGUAUCCAUGGCUUCACUAUAGUCCAACACUGAAAAAGGUUCUUUGUUUUGAAUGUGUCAAAGCAUACACCAUAAAAAAGACUACUUUGGAAAAAAAGAAUGACCCUGCCUUCUGAACAAAGGGUUUCAAUAAUUGGAAGAAUGCCACAGGUAGCUUUAGUCGCCACCAAGCCAGCAAAGCACACCAUCAUGCAGUACAAUUAAUGCACAGGAGCAAACUCCAGUUCCCACACAAAUAUCAAGUGCAUCGGAAGAGGCGAGGCACUGUCUGGAGGAAAUAAUGGGUGCUGUAAGGUAUCUGGCUAGGCAGAGAGUAGCAUUUCGAGGACAUGAGGCAAAUGAAGGGAAUUUCUACUACCUUGUGAAGUUGCUUACAAAUGUUGACCCUGUUUUUUUCGUCUUGGCUCACCUGUUGCCAUGAUUAUGCCAGUCCACAGUGCCAAAAUGAAUACUUAACCUUGCUUGGUAACACAAUUGUCAGAGGCAUUGUAGCAACAAUCAGGUCCUUACCAGUGGUACAGCUGUCAGUUAUAAUGGAUGGCACUCAGGAUAUACUGGGAAAAGAGCAAAUUUCCAUAUGUUUUAGAUAUGUGGGCCAAGACCUGGUGCAGCAGGAAGUCUUUGUGGAAUUGUAUGAGGUGCCAGGGACAACCGGUGAGCAGAUAGCCAAAAUAGCUAUUGAUGUGCUCUUGAGAUUGAAUAUUCUAGUAUCAGGCUAACGAGGUCAGACAUAUAAUGGCAGGAAAGUGCUCAGGGGCACAGGCAGUGUUGAAGAGAGAACAGCCAUUGGCUCGGUAUGUGCAUUGUGGUGCACAUUGUGUAAAUCUUAUAACACAAUGUGCUUGCAGUGCCUCUCCCCUAGUGGGUCCAUGAACUUGGAACUUCAAGGAAAUUCAAGGGACUAGUGCGUGGACAAGCUGUCGAUACAGUUCUUAGUCAGUAUGAGGCUGUGUUGUCUAGUUUAAGGAAAUGGCCUUGGGGGGUAGGGUGUGGGUUGAUGUGUCCCUAUCAAUGUUGAGGCAAAACCUACACCCCUGGUGUAUGGGUGUGU